Mustela lutreola (European mink) is the source of this 851-nucleotide long non-coding RNA. RefSeq lists it as uncharacterized. The transcript is spliced from 3 exons. The record is from RefSeq and is a predicted model, not a curated record. Lineage: Eukaryota; Metazoa; Chordata; Mammalia; Carnivora; Mustelidae.
AAAGGUAGGAGUCUGCGCUCCCCGACGCUACCGGUGAAGCCACGGCGUUUCCACCGCACAGAAGGCACCGCUUCCUCCAACAUGGCAGCGCCCCUGCCCGGCCAAUGAAAGAGGACGCCACAGGCCCGCCUCCGCCUGCCUCCGCCUGCCUCCGCCAAGAGAGGCGCGCAGGCCCUACCGUCGAGCCAGCAGGUGAUGCUGCCCCCGAGCUGCAGAGGGCGACACUACAACCUCGCCUACGUUUCUGCAGGGCAGCCCCGACGCUGUUGAUGCCCGGUUGGCUACAGAACACUCAAAAAUUGCAAAGAGAAAUAUUGUGUUCUGGAAAUUCGCCCGAGCAUUUUUUUCCAAUAUCGUCCUUAUGCUCUUCUGAUCCUCUCUUGAACUGUUGGACUAAAGCAGCUGACGCUUCCACCAGCAACCAGAGUCAUCCUGUCCACUACUGUGGGAACAGAGGGUUUCCAUUUGGAACUGCAGACUGAGCCUAAAGUCUGGUGGCCCUUUGGUGCCAGGAUAGCAGAAAUGAUUCUACCAAUGCCAGCGGCAUACACCAGAAACCAGGAAGGAAUCAUACAGCUGAGCCAACCUGCUGUACUUUAAAACACUUGACCACAAUUCUCCAGUGGAUACUCAACCCUGGCUUCAAACUCCCUUGUCUCUCCGGUGAGUUUGCUUUCCCUCUAAUGGAUGACCGUUUCACACCUUCAAGACUUGCCUCAACAAUCCCUACCCCCACCUCUUCUGAACUAUGUCACCUCACUCCCAGCUCCUGUCCUAGGGAUGAGGGAGCAGAAGGCAAGCUUAGGACAAAGCAGAAGCUGGCGCCCUACACCCUCUCCCCAUGCCCUAUG